Brachypodium distachyon (stiff brome) is the source of this 135-nucleotide non-coding RNA. The record is from Rfam. Lineage: Eukaryota; Viridiplantae; Streptophyta; Magnoliopsida; Poales; Poaceae.
AUUCUAUUUUCUCCGUCCAACAAAAGAUGUCUUAACUUUGAUCAAAUUUGAAUGCAUCUAUACACUAAGUCAUGUCUACAUGCAUCCAAAUUUUGAUAAACUUGAGACAUCUUUUGUUGGACAGAGGAAUACUUU